Molecule: ribosomal RNA, 486 nt
Filed under: uncultured bacterium
Lineage: Bacteria
Description: partial 16S ribosomal RNA
Rfam family: Bacterial small subunit ribosomal RNA
Source: RNAcentral
AUUGAACGCUGGCGACAUGCCUUACACAUGCAAGUCGAACGGCAGCACGGGUGCUUGCACCUGGUGGCGAGUGGCGAACGGGUGAGUAAUACAUCGGAACAUGUCCUGUAGUGGGGGAUAGCCCGGCGAAAGCCGGAUUAAUACCGCAUACGAUCUACGGAUGACAGCGGGGGACCUUCGGGCCUCGCGCUAUAGGGUUGGCCGAUGGCUGAUUAGCUAGUUGGUGGGGUAAAGGCCUACCAAGGCGACGAUCAGUAGCUGGUCUGAGAGGACGACCAGCCACACUGGGACUGAGACACGGCCCAGACUCCUACGGGAGGCAGCAGUGGGGAAUUUUGGACAAUGGGCGAAAGCCUGAUCCAGCAAUGCCGCGUGUGUGAAGAAGGCCUUCGGGUUGUAAAGCACUUUUGUCCGGAAAGAAAUCCUUGGCCCUAAUUCGGUCGGGGGAUGACGGUACCGGAAGAAUAAGCACCGGCUAACUACGUG